UGACUUCACAUGCCAUGAACACCCUCAUCCCGGCCUUGUCCUAUCACGUCUGUUCCCUGGGAGAGCUAUCCCACCCAGAGCACAUACUGUAACCAUCUGGUCCAGGAGUGGAAUCCAGGAAAGCAUAUUUUGACAAGAUUUACGGAGGUCUGAUGCAUGCUAACAUAAGAAGCCAGUAGAAGACACCUUGGAACACCCUGUCUGGAUCUCAGAGUUCUCUUCCCAGGAGGUAACACAGCAGUGCAGCGGCCUAUCUGUGUGGUCCAACUCAUUCACUAGCCCACAUAGCCCCACCAGGUCCCCAAGUCCAUCCCCUCACCAGUGCAGAUGUCAGCUCUUCCCUCCCCGAGGCUUCUUGGGCCCCAGCUGUGCGCCUCCUCGCAGCUCCCCACUGUGCCAGCUGCUCUCCUGUGGCACAGCUUUGAUGCCAGCUAACCAUGUAUCAUGUAUAGUAGCUGCUAUAGAAAUACUAAAAGAAAGUACCCAAACAAAUGACAACAAAGUGAAAACUUACAUUUUUCUGCAAACAAAGAACAUGGACAUCAAAUAACAUACAAAGAAAUAUACUACCUCUCACCGGAAGUGUGUACCAUGAAGCUUGGACUAUCUAACAUUUUGUAGCUAUGCCAACAAAAGACCUACAAACACGCAUUUCACUGAGUCUCAGAGACCAAACCACCAUCCUGUUCACUGUGACAAGGAAUUGC
This is a long non-coding RNA of Octodon degus (degu), 707 nucleotides long. RefSeq lists it as uncharacterized. The transcript is spliced from 4 exons. The record is from RefSeq and is a predicted model, not a curated record. NCBI's taxonomy places the organism in Eukaryota, Metazoa, Chordata, Mammalia, Rodentia, Octodontidae.